This 586-nucleotide ribosomal RNA is filed under the name uncultured bacterium. RNAcentral describes it as "partial 16S ribosomal RNA". It matches the Rfam family "Bacterial small subunit ribosomal RNA", at positions 355 to 935 of the family's 1533-position model. The record is from RNAcentral.
UGGGGAAUAUUGCGCAAUGGGCGAAAGCCUGACGCAGCGACGCCGUGUGAGGGAAGAAGGCUUUCGGGUCGUAAACCUCUGUCGGGAGGGAAGAACCCCCGAGGAGUCGAACAGGCUCUUGGGCUGACGGUACCUCCGAAGGAAGCACCGGCUAACUCCGUGCCAGCAGCCGCGGUAAUACGGAGGGUGCGAGCGUUAAUCGGAAUCACUGGGCGUAAAGCGCACGUAGGCGGUGCCGUAAGUCGGAUGUGAAAGCCCUCGGCUCAACCGGGGAACUGCAUUCGAUACUGCGGUGCUUGAGUGCCGGAGAGGGUGGCGGAAUUCCAGGUGUAGGAGUGAAAUCCGUAGAUAUCUGGAGGAACACCAGUGGCGAAGGCGGCCACCUGGCCGGCAACUGACGCUGAGGUGCGAAAGCGUGGGGAUCGAAAACAGGAUUAGAUACCCUGGUAGUCCACGCUGUAAAGCGAUGGAUACUAGGUGUCAGGGGGUUUACCCUCGGUGCCGCAGUUAACGCGUUAAGUAUCCCGCCUGGGGAGUACGGUCGCAAGGCUGAAACUUAAAGGAAUUGACGGGGUCAUAGCUGUUU